UGUGUUUCUAAAAACUAGUCGUAGUUUCUCUUGGUACAAUGGCUCAGGUGCUAUAUCUAACAGUGUGGCUAUCCUGAUCAAUGGUUAUUUGAAUUCCAUUUGAUCCUGGAAACACCACAUACAUUU
This is a small nucleolar RNA of Corylus avellana, 126 nucleotides long. The record is from RefSeq and is a predicted model, not a curated record. Lineage: Eukaryota; Viridiplantae; Streptophyta; Magnoliopsida; Fagales; Betulaceae.